UACGGGGGGGGCAAGCGUUGUUCGGAAUUACUGGGCGUAAAGGGCUCGUAGGCGGCCAACUAAGUCAGACGUGAAAUCCCUCGGCUUAACCGGGGAACUGCGUCUGAUACUGGAUGGCUUGAAUCCGGGAGAGGGAUGCGGAAUUCCAGGUGUAGCGGUGAAAUGCGUAGAUAUCAGGAGGAACACCGGUGGCGAAGGCGGGUCUCUGGGCCGAUACUGACGCUGAGGAGCGAAAGCGUGGGGAGCAAACAGG
RNAcentral lists this ribosomal RNA (253 nucleotides) under uncultured bacterium. RNAcentral's name for it is "partial 16S ribosomal RNA". It matches the Rfam family "Bacterial small subunit ribosomal RNA", at positions 524 to 776 of the family's 1533-position model. The record is from RNAcentral.